GCCACUCUCUUUAACUGGAUGGUGACGUCGCAGGAUUUAUUUAUUGCUGGGGCUGGGAUGUGGUGGCCGUGCUCAGCUCUCACAGUCAACACCAGCACAGUGUACCCUCUGAGCCCACACUCCUUCCCCCAGGACCUGUUUGGUAACUGGUUGGUAAUACACCAGGAAAACAAACAAACAAACCAGGACUCACAUUUGCCCCUCUAUGGCAAGGGCAGGACAUGUUGGAACUCCAUAAGCCCCAGAGGCUGGGAGGUCAGUGUGGUGGGACCAAGAAAGGCUCCCAGCUGGAGCCCCCUUGCCUUGGGAGAGUCUCUGCACACUGCAAGGAGCAUGGGGUGGAUGCAUUCAGCUUCAGCACAACCACAUCCUCUCAAAGAUGGGCCUGAACUUGCCUUUAAGGUUGGAACCUCAAGCUGCUAAGAGAGAGGAGAGCAACACACAGGGUUUAUGUGAAUCAUCAAAAACUCCUAAUUUUAUGCAGUUCAGCUUAAUGUGGUCCUACUUGCCUUUGUCUAGGCAAGUACAUAGUGUAGAUAUGAUUAUUUUGCAGUAAGUUUGCCUGCUUAUUCUCUGCUUUAUCCCUGAAGCUGCAUUCUCCUUUCGGAGUCGGCAGCUCCCAGGGAGGGGGUGCUAACAGCAGCUUCCUCUUGGCAGAAACCAUCAUUUGGAUAAGUCACAAACCACACUUGUGAAGCCCUAAGAAACAGUAAAAUGAAGAUUUUACCACUCGGAUGUACCCUAGCAGUGAAGUCAGACCUGUUACACCAUCACAGACCUUUGCUUCUGAAAAAUUCCAGCGUUGUAAUCUGAGGGAUUGCCAAGGGACUGCCGUGCUGCUCUUUGUACUCAGCCUAACCCACAGAACAGCUCUGCACUCCUGGUUUUCUAGGAACUCUUCAGAUCACCUCAGGGAAGCGAGUGCAAGGAUCCUCCACAAAGUCCCAUUGACUAAGAUUUUUCUCAGAUGGAUUUUUCUCAGAUUUUCCAUCCUCAGAACACGUCUUUUUGAGGUACAUAGUGAAGAGAUUAUGGGAUUAUUUCCACAUUUUGGGGACUAUUUCUGGCAGCACUCAAUCAGACCUUGCUUCCAGCUCCCCGCGUCAGCUCCAUAAAUGCACAGAAGUAAAUCUGAACAACAGCGGCAAGCAAGCAAUCUACCUACAACUAAAAUGAAGGGGGAAAAGUUUGUGCAAUGCUGUUCCAAGAAAUCUACUUUUGCACUUCUGUGGAGGCAGCUCAGGUAAAAAAAAAUAUAUUUGCAUUUCCCUUGCCAUCUACUGCUAGCCACAGUGUUUAUAGCUGACAUAUAACUGACACUGGCCCCAAAACUGACCAGGCUCCCAGCAUUUUACUUGCAGUACAUGCAAUUCUGGACCUACAGAAGUGAAAACAUCAAAUCUCAGCUGCAAAGCACAGUGGGAUUGCUUUCACUACACUGAGGAAUUAAACACUGCUCCUUCUGUAUGUAUUCCAACUGAGAGACAUCGAGUCCCCAGCCUAGAGAAACAUCACCUGCCCAGUGGUCCCAAGUGAUGGAAGUAUGGGGUGGUUAACAUAGGGAACUCCCUGCAAGGCCAGAGAGUUGAUUUAGCUUCACUUCUGUGAAGUACACAAUCAGAAUAUUUUGUUGUGGUUUUAACUGCUUCCAAUCAAGUAUUUUAAUUCAAAAUAUUUUUUCCCUGAGAUUAAUAGUAACACUGAACAAGUGACACUGUUGCGUGCACAAGAAGAGUGCUGUGUGAAGGGUAUUUGCUUCUACUCCAUCCCCACCUAUCAAAAUGCCAGGAAGAAAGUAUAAUUAAUCAACAUUUUAUUUAACAAAAAGAUCAGUUAUCCAACAUUUAAUGAUAUCAAAUGCCAAAAAUAGUUCACUGCUUUUUCUUUAACAACUGUAUUAAAAACCAACACAAAAUGUUUUUGCCCAAUCAAAAUAUCAGUCUCUAGAGAGCAUCUCAGGGAGCUUACAACCCAGAUGUACAGAUGAAGAAAAGCAAGAAACUAGACACAAAGCAUAUAAUGAAACACAACUCCCUUUCUACGUGUCUUUGACAGUGUUGCACUAUACCUAUUUGUGCUCUUUACAUGUAAUGUAGUGAGGGGGGAAAUCAUACAGCUUUCCAGAAGAAAAAAAAAAAAAAAAAAAGGCUAUUUAGUGUAUUUUUAUAUUAAACAGCUACAGCUACAUUUAGAGCUUUCAUGGGUGAUUGUAUUAAAAGUUCAUCAUCUAAACAGCACUCCCAGGGCUCAUCUGAUAUAUCGAGGGAUAUGCCAGAACAUUUGCAGGUGUAAACAGGGUCUGUUCCUUGAGUCUGUCACUGUCUUUUUGUUUGUUCACCAUGCCAGGCUGCUCUGCUGCACCAGCUCCUCGUGGCUCCUGAGCCUAACAAUUCCCAAAAUAGGAGGCAGAAGCCCAACACAGAAUCGAUUGUAUCCAGUAUUUAUGACACUAUUUGGACCCCGUAAUACAAAUAUUUAAAGUCUAACAAAACUAUAAAGUUGCAACUAUAAACGUUUGGGAAUCACCCCCUAAAACAGUGAACAGUGUUUUAACAGGCCAGCAAGAAAAGCUGAAGUUAUUAAAUAUAACAGAGGGUGGCAAACUCAUUUCAUGAAGUAAUAACCCACCCCUCACAUGGAUACAGUUCUAGGCCUGUUCACUUCACAGCUUAGGAAAUUUUGCAAUGGCACCGUAAUCAUUUACGUGUUCUGCAAUUUGCAAAUCAAGAGCUCCCACUGGCAAAUAUUUCUCUGAGUUUGUUCCGUUAUUGGAGAGAGUGCUCAUCCCUUCUGAAAGGAAAUGGGAUCAACUACUGACAACUUUUAGUUAUUUUCAUGGGGAAUAUUUUCUGAUUGGUUCUCCUGCAGAAAUAUUUCGGAUACGGCGUGUUUCUCAAAAUUCUUUUUAAGGCACUCUGUAAGUGUCUCCCCUCCACACAUCCAGGUAACUUUGUAUUGAUCCACAGACCACACGCUUCACGAUGUUUGGCAGUACACUCUACCAGGUUACGCAUCCUCUCUUAAGGCACUUAAGACUGCUUUUUAUUUUUACAUACACCUAACAAUUCCAACUGAAGAAUCUCCUCCUGUUUCAACAGUCUGCCCAGCACACAUGCAUGGGCACACACAGGCUGAGCACUAACCUUACAGAAACACACUUGCUUAAACCCCUCCCAGUACACAUGUCCUAAGAGUAGGCCAGCUCAGU
RNAcentral lists this long non-coding RNA (3208 nucleotides) under Meleagris gallopavo (turkey). RNAcentral describes it as "lncRNA (ENSMGAG00000022174.1)". The record is from RNAcentral. Lineage: Eukaryota; Metazoa; Chordata; Aves; Galliformes; Phasianidae.